GUGAACGCUGGCGGUAGGCCUAACACAUGCAAGUCGAACGGCAGCACAGUAAGCGCUUGCUCUUACGGGUGGCGAGUGGCGGACGGGUGAGGAAUACAUCGGAAUCUACUUUUUCGUGGGGGAUAACGUAGGGAAACUUACGCUAAUACCGCAUACGACCUACGGGUGAAAGCAGGGGAUCUUCGGACCUUGCGCGAUUGAAUGAGCCGAUGUCGGAUUAGCUAGUUGGCGGGGUAAAGGCCCACCAAGGCGACGAUCCGUAGCUGGUCUGAGAGGAUGAUCCGCCACACUGGAACUGAGACACGGUCCAGACCCCUAGGGGAGGCAGAGGGGGGGAAUUUUGGAAAAUGGGCGCAAGCCUGACCCAGCCAUACCGGGGGGGGGAAGAAGGCCUUCGGGUGGAAAAGCCCUUUUGUUGGGAAAAAAAAGCAGCAGGUUAAUACCCCGCUGUUCUGACGGUACCCAAAGAAAAAGCACCGGCUAACUUCGU
This 490-nucleotide ribosomal RNA is filed under the name uncultured bacterium. RNAcentral describes it as "partial 16S ribosomal RNA". It matches the Rfam family "Bacterial small subunit ribosomal RNA", at positions 29 to 506 of the family's 1533-position model. The record is from RNAcentral.